This is a long non-coding RNA of Phyllostomus discolor (pale spear-nosed bat), 150 nucleotides long. RefSeq lists it as uncharacterized. The record is from RefSeq and is a predicted model, not a curated record. The transcript has 3 exons. Lineage: Eukaryota; Metazoa; Chordata; Mammalia; Chiroptera; Phyllostomidae.
GUGGGGCUCGUCCCUGGGCGCGUGGGGAAGCACGGUGGGUGGGUGUACGCCACAUGAAGAGCAGAGAAGCCCACCCACCAGCGGGGAGAAGCGGCCCCGGGCUAAACAGGGCGGCUGCCACCCACGCGGCUGUCCCAUUACAGCUGGCCC